AAGGUAACCCUCUUCCUUCAACUUCAGCAACUUAAUUUAGUGGUUCAGCACAUUUGACAAACCUUCUGUAACUAGUUUGCUUUGUUGGAGACAAGGGCAUAGUGGUGUGAUGGUGGAUAAGAAGCUUUGCUAUAAUUGUGGAGAAGGUAAACAACCUUAUGUUUGCUUUAUGGAUUAUGUCUUUGCUGAAUCAAAAU
Long non-coding RNA from Carya illinoinensis, 197 nucleotides. RefSeq lists it as uncharacterized. Lineage: Eukaryota; Viridiplantae; Streptophyta; Magnoliopsida; Fagales; Juglandaceae. The record is from RefSeq and is a predicted model, not a curated record. The transcript is spliced from 2 exons.